GCGUGAUUGGCCAGCAAGAUGGCAAAGCUUUAUUCCUGAUCUUGUUUCAGCUGCUAAAACUAGUGAAACAAUUUGUGAGAAUUGCAUGGCUAUAUUGAAGCUUCUAAGUGAAGAGGUGUUUGAUUUCUCAAGAGGAGAGAUGACUCAAAGUAAGAUAAAGGAGCUUAAACAAUCAUUGAACAGUGAAUUUCAACUCAUUCAUGAGCUAUGCUUAUAUGUACUAUCAGCCUCUCAAAGAA
Long non-coding RNA from Humulus lupulus (European hop), 239 nucleotides. RefSeq lists it as uncharacterized. The transcript has 3 exons. The record is from RefSeq and is a predicted model, not a curated record. NCBI's taxonomy places the organism in Eukaryota, Viridiplantae, Streptophyta, Magnoliopsida, Rosales, Cannabaceae.